GGUCGCGGUUGUGUGGGUGGUGCGUGCGCGUGCGUGGGUGGGUGGGGUGGCCCUGGGAAAGGUGCUCCCGGAGGGAAGGCGUCCAAGCCGAAUCUACCCAGAGAAAUGAAAACUCCAUCCACACGAAGACUAUACGAAUGUCCACAGCAGCAGGAUUCACUAAAGCCCCAAACUGGAAGCGACACAGGUGUCCGCGGACAGAAGAGUGGACAAACAAAUGCGGUCCAUGCAUGCAACGGAGUGUGCUUCAGCCAUAAAGUGGAACGAGGUCCUGAGGCAGCCCGCAGCGAGGAUGGAGCCUGAACACACGCCGAAGGACCUGGGAGUGUCUGGAGCUCAGGUCACCAGCUGCCAGGGCUGGGGAGGAGCUUGGGGAGAAGGUGGGACUGAUGGGUUCCAGAGGACUUCUUGGGGUGAUGGAGAGAGUCUAAAAGCAGAUCAUUGCACAACCUUGAUCUGCUGGAAAGCAAAUGCCAUCACAGCACACACUUAACAGUGAGUCUGGCAGUUUGUAAAUUACACUCCUGUGGAGCUGCACCCAUCUCA
This is a long non-coding RNA of Cebus imitator (Panamanian white-faced capuchin), 546 nucleotides long. RefSeq lists it as uncharacterized. The transcript is spliced from 2 exons. The record is from RefSeq and is a predicted model, not a curated record. NCBI's taxonomy places the organism in Eukaryota, Metazoa, Chordata, Mammalia, Primates, Cebidae.